Molecule: non-coding RNA, 73 nt
Organism: Podarcis lilfordi (Lilford's wall lizard)
Lineage: Eukaryota; Metazoa; Chordata; Lepidosauria; Squamata; Lacertidae
Source: the annotation of a GenBank genome assembly
GCCUUUGCUGCUCAGUGGGUAGAGCAUGAGACUCUUAAUCUAAGGGUUGUGGGUUCGAGCCCCAUGUUGGGCA